AGAACGAACGCUGGCGGCACGCCUAACACAUGCAAGUCGAGCGCCCAGCAAUGGGAGCGGCGGACGGGUGAGGAACACGUGGGAAUAUGCCUUUCGGUUCGGCACAACUGCGGGAAACUGCAGCUAAUUCCGGAUACGCCCUUACGGAGAAAGAUUUAUCGCCGAAAGAUUAGCCCGCGUCUGAUUAGCUAGUUGGUGAGGUAAUGGCUCACCAAGGCUUCGAUCAGUAGCUGGUUUGAGAGAACGACCAGCCACACUGGGACUGAGACACGGCCCAGACUCCUACGGGAGGCAGCAGUGGGAAUCUUGGACAAUGGAGGAAACUCUGAUCCAGCGAUGCCGCGUGAGUGAUGAAGGCCUUCGGGUUGUAAAACUCUUUUACCAGGGAAGAUAAUGACUGUACCUGGAGAAUAAGCUCCGGCUAACUUCGCGCCAGCAGCCGC
Molecule: ribosomal RNA, 443 nt
Filed under: uncultured bacterium
Lineage: Bacteria
Description: SSU rRNA
Rfam family: Bacterial small subunit ribosomal RNA
Source: RNAcentral